UACGAAGGGUGCAAACGUUGUUCGGAAUUACUGGGCGUAAAGCGCGUGUAGGCGGCCCUGCAAGUCGGGUGUGAAAUCCCACGGCUCAACCGUGGAAGUGCACUCGAAACUGCAGGGCUAGAGUCCUGGAGAGGAAGGUGGAAUGCUUGGUGUAGAGGUGAAAUUCGUAGAUAUCAAGCGGAACACCGGUGGCGAAGGCGGCCUUCUGGACAGUGACUGACGCUGAGACGCGAAAGCGUGGGUAGCAAACAGG
RNAcentral lists this ribosomal RNA (253 nucleotides) under uncultured bacterium. RNAcentral describes it as "partial 16S ribosomal RNA". It matches the Rfam family "Bacterial small subunit ribosomal RNA", at positions 524 to 776 of the family's 1533-position model. The record is from RNAcentral.